AAGUCGGUUGUGAAAGCCUUCCGCUCAACGGAGGAACGGCAUCCGAUACUGCAUGGCUUGAGUGUGGGAGGGGAGAGUGGAACUUCUGGUGGAGCGGUGAAAUGCGUAGAUAUCAGAAGGAACACCGGCGGCGAAGGCGACUCUCUGGUCCAUAACUGACGCUGAGUGUGCGAAAGCUAGGGGAGCAAACGGGAUUAGAUACCCCGGUAGUCCUAGCCGUAAACGAU
Molecule: ribosomal RNA, 227 nt
Filed under: uncultured bacterium
Lineage: Bacteria
Description: partial 16S ribosomal RNA
Rfam family: Bacterial small subunit ribosomal RNA
Source: RNAcentral